Molecule: ribosomal RNA, 1143 nt
Filed under: Triticum aestivum (bread wheat)
Lineage: Eukaryota; Viridiplantae; Streptophyta; Magnoliopsida; Poales; Poaceae
Description: partial small subunit ribosomal RNA
Source: RNAcentral
AUGCCCUCUGAUUUUGAGAAUAGCGUGAAAGAAUUUAUGAUUUCUCAAAUGAAUUUUAAUGCUUUACUUGAAGAAAAAUUGCUCAAAGUUGAUGAUUUGGCUAGGAACGUUGAUAGACUUUCGCUUGAUGUUGAUUCUCUUAAACUUAGAUAUUCUCCUCCUAAGCAUGAUAUCAAUGAGUCUCUCAAAGCAAUGAGAAUUUCCAUUGAUGAGUGCAAGGAAAGAACCGCUAGAUUGCGCGCUAAGCAAGAUUGCUUUAUAAAGGCGUGUUCUUCUAGUUUCCAUGAAAAUAAUGAUGAAGAUUAUAAAGUUAUUGAUGCGUCUCCUAUUAGAUAUUUGUUUUGCAAUAUGAAUAUUGAUAAUAAUGGGACUGGAGAUGAGUCAACUUUACCUAGAAGGCGUCCCAAGAAUUCGGAGUUUUUAGAUCUUGAUGCUAAAUUUCGUAAAAGUGGGAUUGGAGAGGUCAUAACUUUAAAUAGCAUGGAACCCACUAUCUCGGAUUUCAAGGAAUUUGAUUAUGAUAAUUGUUCCUUAGAAGGUUGUAUUUCCUUGUUGCAAUCCGUUGUUAAUUCACCUCAUGCUUAUAGUCAAAAUAAAGCUUUUACCAAACAUAUCAUUGAUGCUUUGAUGCAAUCUUAUGAUGAAAAACUUAAUUUGGAAGUUUCUAUACCUAGAAAACUUAAUGAUGAGUGGGAACCUACUAUGAAGAUUAGAAUUAAAGAUCAUGAGUGUUUUGCUUUGUGUAAUUUGGGUGCUAGUGUUUCCACGAUUCCGAAAACUUUAUGUGAUAUUCUAGGUUUCCAUGAUCUUGAUGAUUGCUCUUUAAAUUUGCACCUUGCAGAUUCCACCAUUAAAAAGCCAAUGGGAAGGAUCAAUGAUGUUCUCAUUAUUGCAAAUAGAAAUUUGGUGCCCGUAUAUUUUAUCGUUCUUGAUAUAGAUUGCAAUCUUUCUUGCCCUAUUAUUCUUGGUAGACCUUUCCUUAGAACGAUUGGCACGAUUAUUAAUAUGAAGGAAGCGAAUAUUAGAUUCCAAUUUCCAUUAAAGAAAGGGAUGGAGCACUUUACAAUAAAGAAAGUCAAAUUACCUUAUGAAUCUAUCAUGCGGGCUACUUAUGAAUUGAGUGCCAAAGAUGACACUACUUAG